RNAcentral lists this ribosomal RNA (295 nucleotides) under Staphylococcus aureus. Its description in RNAcentral is "partial 16S ribosomal RNA". It matches the Rfam family "Bacterial small subunit ribosomal RNA", at positions 1 to 284 of the family's 1533-position model. Lineage: Bacteria; Bacillati; Bacillota; Bacilli; Caryophanales; Staphylococcaceae. The record is from RNAcentral.
UUUUAUGGAGAGUUUGAUCCUGGCUCAGGAUGAACGCUGGCGGCGUGCCUAAUACAUGCAAGUCGAGCGAACGGACGAGAAGCUUGCUUCUCUGAUGUUAGCGGCGGACGGGUGAGUAACACGUGGAUAACCUACCUAUAAGACUGGGAUAACUUCGGGAAACCGGAGCUAAUACCGGAUAAUAUUUUGAACCGCAUGGUUCAAAAGUGAAAGACGGUCUUGCUGUCACUUAUAGAUGGAUCCGCGCUGCAUUAGCUAGAUGGUAAGGUUAAGGCUUUCCCAGGCAAAGACGCAU